CACGGAGUUAGCCGGUGCUUAUUCGUACAGUACCUUCAGCUAGAUACUCGUAUCUAGGUUUAUCCCUGUACAAAAGAAGUUUACAAACCAUAGGUCCUUAUUCCUUCACGCGGGAUGGCUGGAUCAGGCUUGCACCCAUUGUCCAAUAUUCCUCACUGCUGCCUCCCGUAGGAGUCUGGUCCGUGUCUCAGUACCAGUGUGGGGGAUCACCCUCUCAGGCCCCCUAAAGAUCAUUGACUUGGUGAGCCGUUACCUCACCAACUAUCUAAUCUUGCGCGUGCCCAUCUUUAUCCGCCGGAGCUUUCAAUAUUAAUCGAUGCCAAUCAAUAUAUUAUGGGAUAUUAAUCUUCCUUUCGAAAGGCUAUCUCCCAGAUAAAGGCAGGUUGCACACGUGUUCCGCACCCGUACGCCGCUCUCAUCAAAGACUAGCAAGCUAGUCCUUAAAUCCCGCUCGGCUUGCAUGUGUUAGGCCUCCCGCUAGCGUUCA
Molecule: ribosomal RNA, 487 nt
Filed under: uncultured Riemerella sp.
Lineage: Bacteria; Pseudomonadati; Bacteroidota; Flavobacteriia; Flavobacteriales; Weeksellaceae
Description: partial 16S ribosomal RNA
Source: RNAcentral